RNAcentral lists this transfer RNA (71 nucleotides) under Marmota monax (woodchuck). It matches the Rfam family "tRNA". Rfam says of the family: Transfer RNA (tRNA) molecules are approximately 80 nucleotides in length. Their secondary structure includes four short double-helical elements and three loops (D, anti-codon, and T loops). The record is from Rfam by way of RNAcentral. Lineage: Eukaryota; Metazoa; Chordata; Mammalia; Rodentia; Sciuridae.
AGAGGUAUAGUUCGGUGGUAGAAUGUUUGCCAAGCACCACGAGGCCCUGGGUUCAAACCCCAGUACCACAU